This 468-nucleotide ribosomal RNA is filed under the name uncultured bacterium. Its description in RNAcentral is "partial 16S ribosomal RNA". It matches the Rfam family "Bacterial small subunit ribosomal RNA", at positions 28 to 507 of the family's 1533-position model. The record is from RNAcentral.
GACGAACGCUGGCGGCGUGCUUAACACAUGCAAGUCGAACGGAAGGGCCCUGCUUUUGUGGGGUGCUCGAGUGGCGAACGGGUGAGUAACACGUGAGUAACCUGCCCUUGACUUUGGGAUAACUUCAGGAAACUGGGGCUAAUACCGGAUAGGAGCUCCUGCUGCAUGGUGGGGGUUGGAAAGUUUCGGCGGUUGGGGAUGGACUCGCGGCUUAUCAGCUUGUUGGUGGGGUAGUGGCUUACCAAGGCUUUGACGGGUAGCCGGCCUGAGAGGGUGACCGGCCACAUUGGGACUGAGAUACGGCCCAGACUCCUACGGGAGGCAGCAGUGGGGAAUAUUGCACAAUGGGCGGAAGCCUGAUGCAGCAACGCCGCGUGCGGGAUGACGGCCUUCGGGUUGUAAACCGCUUUCGCCAGUGACGAAGCGUGAGUGACGGUAAUGGGUAAAGAAGCACCGGCUAACUACGUG